RNAcentral lists this ribosomal RNA (395 nucleotides) under uncultured eukaryote. Its description in RNAcentral is "SSU rRNA". It matches the Rfam family "Eukaryotic small subunit ribosomal RNA", at positions 82 to 482 of the family's 1831-position model. The record is from RNAcentral.
UGAAACUGCGAAUGGCUCAUUAAAUCAGUCAUAAUUUACUUGAUAGUACCUUUACCUGGAUAACCGUGGUAAUUCUAGAGCUAAUACAUGCUAAAAACCUCGACUUCGGAAGGGGUGUAUUUAUUAGAUAAAAAACCAAUGCCCUUCGGGGCUCCUUGGUGAUUCAUAAUAACUUAACGAAUCGCAUGGCCUUGCGCCGGCGAUGGUUCAUUCAAAUUUCUGCCCUAUCAACUUUCGAUGGUACAGUAGUGGUCUACCAUGGUUUUAACGGGUAACGGGGAAUUAGGGUUCUAUUCCGGAGAGGGAGCCUGAGAAACGGCUACCACAUCCAAGGAAGGCAGCAGGCGCGCAAAUUACCCAAUCCCAAUUCGGGGAGGUAGUGACAAUAAAUACUG